UAGUAGUCUGGGUAGUUGAGCGCUGUCGGCUCUGUGCUAUUUAUAGGUGACCGGUAGUAUUGCUUGUAGUGGUGUAGUCUUCACUUCUGUCUGUAUACCGUCACCGUGCUGCUCAAGGCCUGCGCCGCCAUGUUUAUAAGACGAGCACGUGGCCUCGCUCCCAGGGUUGGUUGUAGACCCGCACGAAGAUGGUGUGUGUAUAAUAGCCGAUAACUUAUACCGGAAUAUCGGUAUAAGUUAUCGGCUAUCGGUAUCGGCCCUCAAAAUCGAUAUCGGUCGAUCCCUAGUGUGUGGAUAUAUUGAAGAUCGUUUGGGUUUGUUAACUUAUGUUUGUAUCCUAGGUGAUUAGGUCUCUAAUGGAGCCGGAGAGCCGUCUUUACUUGAAGAUGUGUGCCUGGAGACCACAAUCUUGUCAAGAUCCAUGUGCCUACCAACAAAGGUGACUUGUACAUUCAGGAUGUGAAGUGAAAUGACUGGUGAAUCUACAGCUGGUGCCAUCUUGCACUAAAAUGUCUAUUGAAAGAUGUGUGCCCGGAGACCUCAAUCUCUGCCAAGAUCCAUAUGCCUAAUGACAAAGGUGACUUGUGCAUUCAGGCUGUGAAAUGAAGCUCGACUGGUGAAGAAUUUACAGCUUGUCUUGCACUUGAUUUUCUAUUGAAAGAUGGAAAACCUCAGGCGGAGUGCUGCAGUGAUCUCUGAAAACAUCAAGGUGCCAUCUGUCUGGUUGUAUUAAAAUGGAAUGUGGAAUUGAUGGAAUGCAGUAUUGAAAAAUGUCAAUAAAGAUUGAAAGUAAAUGUAUUUUGUGAUUACCUGG
Hyla sarda is the source of this 814-nucleotide long non-coding RNA. RefSeq lists it as uncharacterized. The transcript has 6 exons. The record is from RefSeq and is a predicted model, not a curated record. NCBI's taxonomy places the organism in Eukaryota, Metazoa, Chordata, Amphibia, Anura, Hylidae.